This 966-nucleotide long non-coding RNA is filed under the name Oryza sativa (Asian cultivated rice). RNAcentral's name for it is "long non-coding RNA (OSAT_LNC001476)". The record is from RNAcentral. Lineage: Eukaryota; Viridiplantae; Streptophyta; Magnoliopsida; Poales; Poaceae.
AGGCCCCCACCUGCGCCGCGCUCGCGCCUGCUUCUCUCCGCUUUCUCCGCUUUCUCCUCACAUCGCACAUCUCCGCUUUCUUCUCCUCGCGCCGUGCCACAGCCGCUACCUUCUCCUCGCGGCGUGUCGCCGCCUUCUCCUCCUCGCGCUGUGCCACCGCCUUUUCCUGCUGAAUCGCCGCCGAUCUGCACAUCCUCGACUCCGACGAACCCUCAACUCAUGGUGGCGCCGCCUCCUCUCCGACAGGUGCUGUGGAGGUCACUCAUAGCUCCUAGAUCCAGCGCCGCAUCCCGUCGUCAAGGUCCUCAUGCCACCGGCGAAGCCCACCUCCACGUGUUGCUCGCGCCCCUUCAACUCCUCUUCGGUUAGCAUGCACUUUUGUGGGGUUUUUUUUUCGAUCUAAAAUUGUGGAUGGUCUGUGUUUUAUUCAUCUCAAGAAUCUCGGUCGAGACCGAGACCGAAAAAACCGAGACCGAAUUGUCCGGUCUUCAAUUUUAUCGAGGACCGAUCGGUCUUGACUUUCUGAUGACCGAAAUUUCAUCCAGGACCGAAGACCGAGACCGAAUUGCUCGGUCAGACCGAAUGCCCACCCCUACCUAUAGAUAUCAGAUCCGAUACAUGAGUAUUAAAUCCGAUACAUAUAGAUAUCAGAUCCAGGACCUGAGUAUUUGUCACACCCCAAUCCGGCACCGCCGCACAACGGCACCUGACAGGAGCGUGUCGUAGAAAAAACGGCGCGAACCGCUUCCUUACGAAACCGCGAUCUCGGUACCAGUCCCAGGACAUAGUGCUGGUACCCACGGUGACAAAUAUGAAUCAUAGCAAUCCUUAAAAUAAAUAGAGGACUUAUUUACCUUAACUUAGGUUGCAGCUCAGACAGCCCGAGAAUGCAACCGACGACACGGACGAGGCGAACACCAACAACAGCAGCAGCAGCGGAACCAACGGACUAACACCCAACACCAC